This 383-nucleotide long non-coding RNA is filed under the name Elaeis guineensis (African oil palm). RNAcentral's name for it is "long non-coding RNA (EGUI_LNC008738)". The record is from RNAcentral. Lineage: Eukaryota; Viridiplantae; Streptophyta; Magnoliopsida; Arecales; Arecaceae.
ACCCCUGAAACUCUUUUUGCAAUAUUGUCCAAGCUUCUUUUGCAGUAGUUACAGCAAUGAUUCUUGAGAAAAUGGACUUGUGGACUACUUGUUGAAUGAAAAACAGUGUCUUGGAAUCCUUCUUUCUAUUUUCUCUCAACUUUGCUUCUUCAUCUGGAUCUGCAUAUCCAUUCUCAACCAAAUCCCAAAGGUCUUGUGACAUAAAUAAAGUCUUCAUUUUAAUGCUCCAAACUUCAUAACAUUCACUUUUAAAGAUAGGAAUUGAGGGUUGAGAAAUGCUUACAGAAUUUUCAAAAGCUGCCAUGUUGCUACCCAACAGCUUACCUCCUCACAACAAUAUUAGCCAUGAAUUUGACUUACAAGUCUUCAAGUUGCAACAGCAC